UCCGUAGGCGGUGCGGCGAGUCGGAAGUGAAAUCUCAGGGCUUAACCCUGAGGCUGCUUCCGAAACUGCCGUGCUCGAGUGCGAGAGAGGCGAGUGGAAUUGCAGGUGUAGCGGUGAAAUGCGUAGAUAUCUGCAGGAACAUCCGAGGCGAAAGCGGCUCGCUGGAUCGCAACUGACGCUGAGGGACGAAAGCUAGGGGAGCAAACAGGAUUAGAUACCCUGGUAGUCCUAGCCCUAAACGAUCAGGACUGGGCGUGGGCCUCGUACGGGGCUCGUGCCGCAGCUAACGCGUUAAGUCCUGCGCCUGGGGAGUACGGUCGCAAGGCUGAA
RNAcentral lists this ribosomal RNA (330 nucleotides) under uncultured bacterium. RNAcentral's name for it is "bacterial SSU rRNA". It matches the Rfam family "Bacterial small subunit ribosomal RNA", at positions 568 to 898 of the family's 1533-position model. The record is from RNAcentral.